RNAcentral lists this ribosomal RNA (492 nucleotides) under uncultured bacterium. RNAcentral describes it as "partial 16S ribosomal RNA". It matches the Rfam family "Bacterial small subunit ribosomal RNA", at positions 29 to 507 of the family's 1533-position model. The record is from RNAcentral.
AGUGAACGCUGGCGGCAGGCCUAACACAUGCAAGUCGAACGGCAGCACAGUAAGAGCUUGCUAUUACGGGUGGCGAGUGGAGGACGGGUGAGGAAUACACCGGAAUCUACUUUUACGUGGGGGAUAACGUAGGGAAACUUACGCUAAUACCGCAUACGACCUACGGGUGAAAGCAGGGGUUCUUCGGACCUUGCGCGAUUGAAUGAGCCGAUGUCGGAUUAGCUAGUUGGCGGGGUAAAGGCCCACCAAGGCGACGAUCCGUAGCUGGUCUGAGAGGAUGGUCAGACACACUGGAAGUGAGACGCGGUCCAGACUCCUACGGGAGGCAGCGGUGGGGAAUAUUGGACAAGGGGCGCAAGCCUAAUCCAGCCCAACCGCGUCGGUGAAGAAGGCCUUCGGGUUUGAGAGCCCUUUUGUUGGGAAAGAAAAGCAGCAGGUUAAUACCCCACUGUUCUGACGGUACCCAAAGAAUAAGCACCGGCUAACUUCGUG